GCCAGCAGCGUGGUGUGAGAUAGCUGUUUUGAUGCUUGGUUUCUGGCCGCUUCACAACCUACGGAGUCCUGGCCGGUGUUCACAGAAUUACAGAAUGGUUUGGGUUGGAGGCGGCCUGUGGGACCAUCUCGUUCCAUCCCCUGCUACAGGCAGGGACACGUACCUCUAGGCCAGGCUGCUCUCAGCCCCACCCAGCCUGGCCCUGAGUGCUUCCAGGGAGGGGGCACUCACCGCCUCACUGUGCAGCCUGUUCAGUGUCUCACCACCCUCACAGUAAAGAAUUCCUUCCUUUUUUCUGCCAUCUCCACGUGGAGUACACGAGGUUGUGCUCACAGGGCUUCCCGUGGUUAAAUACUUGGUAACUGCGCUGGUGUAUAUAAGGGGUGGAAAAAGGGAGCAGGGUGAUGCCUCUUACUGCUGUGCAAGCAGCUGGGGUGCCUCUGUUUCUCCAGGAGAAAUGAAAAGUAGAGCGCGCAGCCAUGGAAUGGUUGGUUUGCGUGGCUAGGGAUCACACGCAGCUCAGCAGCUGGUACCUUGCUUACACCCUUCUUCAUCCUUUGUGCACUUGCAGACCCUGUGUCCUGCUAACCAGAGGCCCAGCAGCAGUGUAAGGGCUGAGGUGGGUCUGGAUGAACGCUGUCAGCUGUGCGGUAUCGGCCCCAGUCAGCACUGACCACAGCAUGUAAGUGUGAGCCAAGGCAGUGGGUGACUCAGUCCUUUCACUACUGAAGCAGAGUGUUUGUGGCUUUUUUAAGAGUCAGCAGAGCUUGUGGGCAAGAAAUAUGCAAUACUAUGAACCAUAUUCAGUAAAUAAUGAGAUAUUCCCAGAUGCACUUCAGGCCAAGUAAAAUAUGCAGCUGGGCCAGAUGACUUAAAUUUUCCAGCUAUAAAUUGCAGCAAUUCUCCAGCUGUAUGCAGUAAAAUACAAGUGAAGGGCUCUCCCUUCAGAUCUGGUAUUUAAACUUGUGGAAAUAAUGGCUCUUUUGAAAAUGUACAGCCCUGAAGAAAAGCGUAAUUUGAGGAUGCUCUGGAAGCGAAAAAGAGAUGGACAACAGGGGUAUUAAACCUUCGCAAGGUCCACUUUUUGGUCUGAGAUCUGACUGCUUUUACACCUUCAGCAGUAUGGAACCAGGAGCUCUGCAGCAUCUGGGAGGAGGUGAGCCAUGAGGCCUGCAUGCUGGAUGCUCCUUUUGCUCUCCGAGACUGGACUUUGCUUUAAACCAGGUGUGCCACCGAACCCUGCCUGCUCACACCCUCCCGGGACUUGAAUGGUUCCAGGCAAGGACUGGGAGAACAUCUGCAGGGAGCAUCCUGCCCUCAGCACACCCUCACCUGUCCU
This is a long non-coding RNA of Numida meleagris (helmeted guineafowl), 1339 nucleotides long. RefSeq lists it as uncharacterized. The transcript has 3 exons. The record is from RefSeq and is a predicted model, not a curated record. Lineage: Eukaryota; Metazoa; Chordata; Aves; Galliformes; Numididae.